RNAcentral lists this ribosomal RNA (253 nucleotides) under uncultured bacterium. RNAcentral's name for it is "partial 16S ribosomal RNA". It matches the Rfam family "Bacterial small subunit ribosomal RNA", at positions 524 to 776 of the family's 1533-position model. The record is from RNAcentral.
UACGUAGGGGGCUAGCGUUGUCCGGAAUCAUUGGGCGUAAAGAGCGUGUAGGCGGCCAGGUAGGUCUGCUGUGAAAACUCGAGGCUCAACCUCGAGACGUCGGCGGAAACCAUCUGGCUAGAGUCCGGAAGAGGAGAGUGGAAUUCCUGGUGUAGCGGUGAAAUGCGCAGAUAUCAGGAAGAACACCCGUGGCGAAGGCGGCUCUCUGGGACGGUACUGACGCUGAGGAGCGAAAGCAUGGGGAGCGAACAGG